UUGCGCGAGUUCAACAUCCUUACAUUGUUCAGUUUAAGGAAGCUUGGGUUGAAAAAGGUUGCUUUGUUUGCAUUGUUACUGGAUAUUGUGAAGGUGGCGAUAUGGCUGGAUUGAUGAAAAAAUCAAAUGGGGUCUAUUUCCCCGAAGAGAAACUCUGCAAGUGGUUUGUGCAACUACUUC
Molecule: long non-coding RNA, 180 nt
Organism: Hibiscus syriacus
Lineage: Eukaryota; Viridiplantae; Streptophyta; Magnoliopsida; Malvales; Malvaceae
Exons: 4
Source: RefSeq, a predicted model, not a curated record